This 465-nucleotide ribosomal RNA is filed under the name uncultured bacterium. RNAcentral's name for it is "partial 16S ribosomal RNA". It matches the Rfam family "Bacterial small subunit ribosomal RNA", at positions 338 to 795 of the family's 1533-position model. The record is from RNAcentral.
CCUACGGGCGGCAGCAGUGGGGAAUAUUGCGCAAUGGGCGAAAGCCUGACGCAGCGACGCCGCGUGAGGGAUGAAGGUCUUCGGAUCGUAAACCUCUGUCAGCAGGGAAGAACGGUAACUGUGCUAAUCAGCAGUGCAUUGACGGUACCUGCAAAGGAAGCACCGGCUAACUCCGUGCCAGCAGCCGCGGUAAGACGGAGGGUGCGAGCGUUAGUCGGAAUUACUGGGCGUAAAGCGCUCGUAGGCGGUAUGUCAAGUCAAGGGUGAAAGCCCCGGGCUCAACGUGGGAACUGCCUUUGAAACUGGCAAACUGGAGGGUAGGAGAGGAUAGUGGAAUUCCAGGUGUAGGAGUGAAAUGCGUAGAUAUCUGGAGGAACAUCAGUGGCGAAGGCGACUAUCUGGCACAUAACUGACGCUGAGGAGCGAAAGCGUGGGUAGCAAACAGGAUUAGAUACCCCAGUAGUC